AAUUCCUACGGGGGGCAGCAGUGGGGGAUAUUGCACAAUGGGGGGAACCCUGAUGCAGCGACGCCGCGUGAGGGAAGACGGCCUUCGGGUUGUAAACCUCUGUCGCAGGGGACGAAGGAGAUGACGGUACCCUGUGAGGAAGCCACGGCUAACUACGUGCCAGCAGCCGCGGUAAUACGUAGGUGGCGAGCGUUAUCCGGAUUUAUUGGGUUUAAAGGGUGCGUAGGCGGAUUUUUAAGUCAGCGGUAAAAUGUCCGGGCUCAACCCGGGCCGGCCGUUGAAACUGGGGAUCUUGAGUGGGCGAG
Molecule: ribosomal RNA, 305 nt
Filed under: uncultured bacterium
Lineage: Bacteria
Description: bacterial SSU rRNA
Rfam family: Bacterial small subunit ribosomal RNA
Source: RNAcentral